UCCAGACUAAAAGGACCAAACUAGGACUAGAAGGACCAGACAAGGACUAAAAGGACCAGACUAGGACUAAAAGGACCCAGACUAGGUCUAAAAGGGACCAGACUAGGACUAAAAGGGACCAGACUAGGACUAAAAGGACCAGACUAGGACUAAAAGGACCAGACUAGGACUAAAAGGACCAGACUAGGACUAAAAGGACCAGUGUAUUGUAGUGUUUGGCUGAUACAGUACACACACACACACACACACCAUUUCAAUCGAUAAGAUCUUUAUCAGGUUCAGUGGGUUUAGAUCAGGUAGGUACAAGCAUCUAAAAUACAUAUACAACAAUAACACUCUCAACUAGCAUCAAUCUAAUCUAAGGUCUAAUGUCAAUAAUGAUAUCUACUCAUUAUCAAUCCUCUAUCCACAUGAUCAACCGUUGGCUUUGAACUAUGAAAAACAAACAAGCUACUUAAAAGUUGCAGACUUUAAAAAUAAAAAACCUCAAAACCUGUCAAGCCUCUUACAUCAUUCUUCGUAAAAGACGAAAAGUAAGCAUUGUAAAUACGUUGACGUUUUAUUUUUUAGCUAAUCACAACAAUACUACUAACGUAUCACAAGGAGAACAAACUAAAGAUAUCAUAUUCCACAGAGGAGUGUCCUCUACUUCCUGUUUCUGAUACUGACUCUGGGCUACUGUAACUGCUGUUAUCUCUACUGUCCAGACUCAGUCAGGUCCAGGUUGGUACUCUACUGUCCAGACUCAGUCAGGUCCAGGUUGGUACUCUACUCUACUGUCCAGACUCAGUCAGGUCCAGGUUGGUACUCUACUGUCCAGACUCAGUCAGGUCCAGGUUGGUACUCUACUCUACUGUCCAGACUCAGUCAGGU
Long non-coding RNA from Oncorhynchus tshawytscha (Chinook salmon), 873 nucleotides. The record is from Ensembl. NCBI's taxonomy places the organism in Eukaryota, Metazoa, Chordata, Actinopteri, Salmoniformes, Salmonidae.